This is a non-coding RNA of Pocillopora verrucosa, 795 nucleotides long. The record is from RefSeq and is a predicted model, not a curated record. NCBI's taxonomy places the organism in Eukaryota, Metazoa, Cnidaria, Anthozoa, Scleractinia, Pocilloporidae.
UGAUUUAUCACUACAUGCCUUUUCUCCCUUCACCGAGUUAGCUGAAACCUUUGUGAAACGUGAAUGAAAAGACUAACAUGGCGAAAGAACACCGUACAUUCAAAUAGGAGUGCUCUUAUAUUGAGUGCUUCAACGAAAUUUCGUUUCUUAUCAAGAAAGGCUUUGUCCCAAACAUGAAGGUUGAAGGUAUUUUAGAUAUAUAAACAAGCUGCUCAAAAAACUAAUGUCUGAUGAGCUGAAGCACUGGGCUGGAACUCAAGAGAUCAGUUGGACUACCAGAUGUUCAUUCUGGCUGUGGAUUUGCUAUUGCUAUUGUUCCACCCCGUUUUAGUAAUGAGUUUAGAAAUCUCACCAUUGCACCCUAAAGCUCCAUUCCUUUGAUGCACUGUGAUCUGUGUGAUCUUGGACCACAAAUCCUAAUCCACAUCCUCCCAAAGGAACACACAAUUUAACUCCACAUUUACAAAAAAGUGUUAUUUGAGAGGUGAUCCACAAGUAUCAGUCAGCUGGACCAAGGAUGGAGUGCUACUUAGUAAAAACAACAGCCUGGUUAUUAGACAAGUGACAUUUAAAGAUAAGGGCAAUUAUGAAUGUACUGCUAAAUAUGAUUAUGGCAAAGCAAACUCUUCCUUCCGAAUGGAUAUCAGAGGUAAACUCUAUAUUGUAGUUUAUGUCAGUCAUCAAACUUGUAACUUAACGAAGCAUUUGUUUUGAAGUUAAAGCCAAAUUUAAAGAGACCUAUUUUUUUCUCUCUUUUCAUCCAUAUCAUUUAAAAAUAUCAAUGACCAAGGAACU